RNAcentral lists this long non-coding RNA (229 nucleotides) under Elaeis guineensis (African oil palm). RNAcentral describes it as "long non-coding RNA (EGUI_LNC007652)". Lineage: Eukaryota; Viridiplantae; Streptophyta; Magnoliopsida; Arecales; Arecaceae. The record is from RNAcentral.
GUCAACUGGGUGCUGUGGAGCAACACCUUCAUUUGGUAAACCCCAGAUCUAUCCAAGUCUUUCUGCAGUUAAAACAAAGGUGACAUCCUUCACUGUGCACCUGAUAUCAUCCAUACCAUAAGCCAUAGAGCUUGAGAACUCCCUCACAAGCCUUGGAUAGGUUGGCUGUUUCAUUGAAUAAAAUCUAUCUUAGCCUGGCCUAUAGAUCCAAGUGCCAAUCCAGAACUCA